This 429-nucleotide ribosomal RNA is filed under the name Chloroflexota bacterium. RNAcentral describes it as "Chloroflexi bacterium partial 16S ribosomal RNA". It matches the Rfam family "Bacterial small subunit ribosomal RNA", at positions 355 to 776 of the family's 1533-position model. The record is from RNAcentral. Lineage: Bacteria; Bacillati; Chloroflexota.
UGGGGAAUAUUGCACAAUGGGCGCAAGCCUGAUGCAGCCAUGCCGCGUGUGUGAAGAAGGCCUUCGGGUUGUAAAGCACUUUCAGCGGGGAGGAAGGCGUUAAGGUUAAUAACCUUGGCGAUUGACGUUACCCGCAGAAGAAGCACCGGCUAACUCCGUGCCAGCAGCCGCGGUAAUACGGAGGGUGCAAGCGUUAAUCGGAAUUACUGGGCGUAAAGCGCACGCAGGCGGUCUGUCAAGUCGGAUGUGAAAUCCCCGGGCUCAACCUGGGAACUGCAUUCGAAACUGGCAGGCUAGAGUCUUGUAGAGGGGGGUAGAAGUCCAGGUGUAGCGGUGAAAUGCGUAGAGAUCUGGAGGAAUACCGGUGGCGAAGGCGGCCCCCUGGACAAAGAAUGACGCUCAGGUGCGAAAGCGUGGGGAGCAAACAGG